AGGACGAACGCUGGCGGCGUGCUUAACACAUGCAAGUCGAACGGAUCGGUCGGUGCUUGCACCGGCCGGUUAGUGGCGAACGGGUGAGUAACACGUGAGCAACCUGCCCUUGACUCUGGGAUAACCCCGGGAAACCGGAGCUAAUACCGGAUACGAACCACCCAGGCAUCUAGGUGGUUGGAAAGAAUUUCCGGUCAAGGAGUGGCUCGCGGCCUAUCAGCUUUGUUGGUGAAGGGUACCGGCCCCAACGAAGGGCCGACGGAACGGGU
Molecule: ribosomal RNA, 269 nt
Filed under: uncultured soil bacterium
Lineage: Bacteria
Description: partial 16S ribosomal RNA
Rfam family: Bacterial small subunit ribosomal RNA
Source: RNAcentral